RNAcentral lists this transfer RNA (86 nucleotides) under Paenibacillus glycinis. Its description in RNAcentral is "tRNA-Ser". The record is from RNAcentral. Lineage: Bacteria; Bacillati; Bacillota; Bacilli; Caryophanales; Paenibacillaceae.
GCCGGGCAGGGCGGACGAUGAGGCGCAGGAAGGGUUACUUCGACUGCUAAUCGAAUUUGUCGCCGGUUCGAAUCCGGCCCCCGGCA